GAGAUGACUUCCUAGUCAGCCCAUGGGCUGUCCAGCGGUCGAGACUUUGGCCAGCACAGUCGGGCAGCUCCACCCCACAGCAGGCAAGGCCCAAGGACUCCGAGAGCUAACAGCCAUCGAAUGUAACAAUGGCCACCAUUUAUUGAGCCCCGAUUAUGUGCCAGGCGCUGUCCUGGGUGCUUUCCACAUUUUGCAGUGACUCAGCCAGUUCAGUGCAGAUUCUCUGUGAUGGCAGCUAUGGAGGAGACCGGGGUAGCUCGACCCCAAAGCAAUUGCUGGUCUAAGGAUGCU
RNAcentral lists this long non-coding RNA (291 nucleotides) under Equus asinus (donkey). Its description in RNAcentral is "lncRNA (ENSEASG00005030932.1)". Lineage: Eukaryota; Metazoa; Chordata; Mammalia; Perissodactyla; Equidae. The record is from RNAcentral.